UUCACAGAAUUUGGAGUCUGGCACAGGAGUGUGUCCCACGCAUGAAUGUCAUCCUUUAGAUCUGGACCUGACAGCCUGGGAGCUGCUGGGGGGAAGAUCCCAACUGGGCCAGUUUGAACUUGGGCGCCCUCAUGUGCAUCGAGUGCUCAGGGAUCCACCGGAAUCUUGGCACCCACCUUUCCCGAGUCCGAUCUCUGGACCUGGAUGACUGGCCAAUCGAGCUCAUCAAGGUGAUGUCAUCCAUCGGGAACGAGCUAGCCAACAGCGUCUGGGAAGAGAGCAGCCAGGGGCGGACAAAACCCUCGGUAGACUCCACAAGGGAAGAGAAGGAACGGUGGAUCCGUGCCAAGUACGAGCAGAAGCUCUUCCUGGCCCCGCUGCCCUGCACGGAGCUGUCCCUGGGCCAGCACCUGCUGCGGGCCACCGCCGACGAGGACCUGCGGACGGCCAUCCUGCUGCUGGCACACGGCUCCCGGGAUGAGGUGAACGAGACCUGCGGGGAGGGAGACGGCCGCACGGCGCUGCAUCUGGCCUGCCGCAAGGGGAACGUGGUCCUGGCGCAGCUCCUGAUCUGGUACGGGGUGGACGUCAUGGCCCGAGAUGCCCACGGGAACACAGCGCUGGCCUACGCCCGGCAGGCCUCCAGCCAGGAGUGCAUCGACGUGCUGCUGCAGUACGGCUGCCCCGACGAGCGCUUCGUGCUCAUGGCCACCCCCAACCUGUCCAGGAGAAACAAUAACCGGAACAACAGCAGCGGGAGGGUGCCCACCAUCAUCUGAGGAACAGCCGUGCCCGCCUGCUCGCCGCACCGGGGACGCGGCAGCCUCGCCUCAUUCUCGCUCGGAAGUCGCAGCACGUGAGUCCCGUCGCAUCCCCUCCCUCUUCCUGGUGGCCGUCCCCCUCCCGCCCACCCACUCUCACCCCAAAAACAAAAUCACAAAACCUGGACAUCCUCAAGGGGCGAAGAGGCGGCCGGGAGACUGCAGAAGUGGCUCCUUUUCAUAAACUCCCCUAAACCACAAACAGGAGAGAGCGACGGGCCUCGGCCCUUUCAUGAUAGCACAUGGCGCAGGACCCUUGUCCUGGGGGCACAAGGGACGGGGACGCAAGGGGGAGGGGAGGCGAGGAACAAGGAGAAGGGGCAACUUUCCGUAAUUGGCAUUUAAGCACAUAGUACAUUUCACCUCUACCAAACGGAACACUUGGAUUCCAUCUCUUCUCUGAGGAGCUUGACGGCAUAAAUCAGAAGCAAGCACAGAGUUUGUCAGGUUUGAAGCCCCUAUGAUGGUAUGUGUCAAAUCAGUUGUAGCUAAUCUGUCCAGGGAGAAUACUGGCUUCAUUACACUUGUAUAGUUGAGUUCUUCCAGCAUUACUGCUGUUUAAUAGAACAUGAUUAGUCAUCACCGAGAAGAAAGCAUAUUAGCCGAGGAGGUAGUUACGCGGCACGCUCCGGUGAUUGCCACGAUGUGAUUGCAAUACUCUUAGAAGCAUCAUAUUAUCCCAGACAUGUUCUUUCAAGCCCUUGGAGCCCUCCUUUCUAAAUUCACUGUCAUAAUUUAGUAUCUGUUUAAUUUUUCAGUCCAAAGAGAGGAAAUCAGUCGCUGAGUAUUAUUUGACUCCGGUCUCCUUGGUGCAAAAACAAAAUGGGAAAAAUAAAUAAGAAUAACUCAGAAAUUCAAAAGGAAACCACAAAUUCAGCUAAUAAUAGCAUUUCGAGUAUAUUUCGUAAACUAAGUAAAUACACAAAAGGCUAUUUUUUCCGACCGUAAGAGAUAUUUUAUGUCCUUUUGCCGAGGUGGAUGUGUUAGUCUCAGGCCCUCCUGGGCCACAUUGCCCAAGUCACACAGGCUUCUGUGUUAUGUAUUUAGAUAAGAUGUGUGAAAAUAUAUUUGAAUAAAAGAAGUUCAUAAAUAUGCAUUGAUUUUUGUACAGACAAAUGGCACCUCUCUUAAUUUAUAAAUUGAACUGGAUGUGAACUAAUAAUGUGCAACUAGUUGAGAUAAGAGGGUUACAGAUCAUUGUACAUGGAAAAUAUUCCCAGCAGUAAACACUUCCAUUAAUGUGAUCUACAGCUUUUAAAAAGGAGCAUCUCAAAAUAAGAUGGUGGUACAAUUUGCUUAUUAAAAUUGAGAAAGAAAAAAAAAA
This 2145-nucleotide small RNA is filed under the name Pongo abelii (Sumatran orangutan). RNAcentral's name for it is "processed transcript". Lineage: Eukaryota; Metazoa; Chordata; Mammalia; Primates; Hominidae. The record is from RNAcentral.